GCCCGGUUAGCUCAGUCGGUAGAGCAUUCGGCUUUUACAAGGGGUAUCCCCUCUGCAAACGUGACCGAAAUGUCGGGGGUUCGAGCCCCCCAUUGGGCG
Molecule: transfer RNA, 99 nt
Organism: Puccinia graminis f. sp. tritici
Lineage: Eukaryota; Fungi; Basidiomycota; Pucciniomycetes; Pucciniales; Pucciniaceae
Rfam family: tRNA
About the family: Transfer RNA (tRNA) molecules are approximately 80 nucleotides in length.
Source: Rfam